AGUGAACGCUGGCGGUAGGCCUAACACAUGCAAGUCGAACGGCAGCACAGAGGAGCUUGCUCCUUGGGUGGCGAGUGGCGGACGGGUGAGGAAUACAUCGGACUCUACUCUGUCGUGGGGGAUAACGUAGGGAAAUUUACGCUAAUACCGCAUACGACCUACGGGUGAAAGCAGGGGAUCUUCGGACCUUGCGCGAUUGCAUGCGCCGCUGUCGGAUUAGCUAGUUGGCGGGGUAAAGGCCCACCAAGGCGACGAUCCGUAGCUGGUCUGAACGGAUAAGCACCCACACAUGAACGGAGAAAGGGCUCAGACUCCUACGGGAAGCAGCAGUGCGGAAUAUUAGACAAUGGGCGCAAGCCUGAUCCAGCCAUACCGCGUGUGUGAAGAAGGCCUUCGGGUUGUAAAGCCCAUUUGUUGGGAAAGAAAUCCAUCUGGUUAAUACCCGGGUAGGAUGACAGUACCCAAAGAAUAAGCACCGGCUAACUUCGUGCCAGCCGCCGCGGUAA
Molecule: ribosomal RNA, 506 nt
Filed under: uncultured bacterium
Lineage: Bacteria
Description: partial 16S ribosomal RNA
Rfam family: Bacterial small subunit ribosomal RNA
Source: RNAcentral